GGAGGGUUGCCCGAGUGGCCAAAGGGAGCAGGCUGUAAACCUGCCGGCUAUGCCUACGUUGGUUCGAAUCCAUCACCCUCCA
RNAcentral lists this transfer RNA (82 nucleotides) under Polyangiaceae bacterium. Its description in RNAcentral is "tRNA-Tyr". It matches the Rfam family "tRNA". Rfam says of the family: Transfer RNA (tRNA) molecules are approximately 80 nucleotides in length. Their secondary structure includes four short double-helical elements and three loops (D, anti-codon, and T loops). The record is from RNAcentral. Lineage: Bacteria; Pseudomonadati; Myxococcota; Polyangiales; Polyangiaceae.